This 66-nucleotide transfer RNA is filed under the name Staphylinidae sp. BMNH 1274171. RNAcentral describes it as "tRNA-Arg". The record is from RNAcentral. Lineage: Eukaryota; Metazoa; Arthropoda; Insecta; Coleoptera; Staphylinidae.
AAAUAAGAAAUAAAAAAAUUAUAUUUAGUUUCGACCUAAGCCCUUGAUGAAUAUCAUCCUUAUUUU